Molecule: small nuclear RNA, 107 nt
Organism: Nannospalax galili (Upper Galilee mountains blind mole rat)
Lineage: Eukaryota; Metazoa; Chordata; Mammalia; Rodentia; Spalacidae
Source: Ensembl
GUGCUCACUUCAGCAGCUUGUGUCCUAAAACUGGAACAAUACUGAGAAAAUCAGCACAGUCACUAUACAAGGAUGACAUGCAAAUUCAUGAAGGGUUCCAUGUUAAA